AGUUCUACAGUACAGUAUUUAUUGCUUGUUUACAGGCUAAUAAUCAUCAAAAUUAUAUAUAUGGAAUAGAUAACGAAAAUGGGACUAAGACAGAAAUAUACUUAGUAUACAGUUAUUUCAAUUAAGGUUGUCCACGAGCAAAGCGGAAAAGUCGAAUACGAGCGCGAAGGGCUGCUGGGAAUUGCUUUGAAAAUUCAUUAAUUUGUUAACGAUUCCCAGCAGCCUUUUGCGCUCGUAUUCGACUUUACCGCUUUGCUCGGGGGACAACCUUAAUUGAAAUAGCUGUAUAUACAUAUAUUUCACAGAACGAGCUUGGUUUUAUAAGAUUAUUAUAAGUCUAUAUACGAUGCUGAAAGACUAUUCAUUAUAUAUAUAUAUAUAUAUAUAUAUAUAUAUAUACAUACAUAUAUAUAUACA
Molecule: non-coding RNA, 417 nt
Organism: Paramuricea clavata
Lineage: Eukaryota; Metazoa; Cnidaria; Anthozoa; Malacalcyonacea; Plexauridae
Source: the annotation of a GenBank genome assembly